UUCCGGAGGGGAGGAAGUGGCGGACGGGUGAGUCACACGUGGAUACCUACCCCUCAGUGAGGAAUACCGGCGAGAAAUCGCCGACAAUACCGCAUAGGCUCUCUCGCAAGAGAGAGCAAAGCCGCAAGGCGCUGGGGGAGGGGUCUGCCUCCGAUUAGCUAGCUGGUGGGGUAAUGGCUCACCAGGUCGACGAUCGGUAGCUGGUCUGAGAGGAUGAUCAGCCACACUGGGAUUGAGAACGGCCCAUACUCCUACGGGGGGCAGCAGUGAGGAAUCUUCGGCAAUGGGGGCAACCCUGACCGAGCAACGCCGCGUGCAGGAAGAACGUUUCCGGAUCGUAAACUGCUUUUCUGUGGGACGAGCACGACGGUACCACAGGAAGAAGCCCCGGCUAUCUACGUG
Molecule: ribosomal RNA, 402 nt
Filed under: uncultured bacterium
Lineage: Bacteria
Description: bacterial SSU rRNA
Rfam family: Bacterial small subunit ribosomal RNA
Source: RNAcentral